RNAcentral lists this ribosomal RNA (272 nucleotides) under Epsilonematidae sp. 631_6-1500. RNAcentral describes it as "partial 18S ribosomal RNA". It matches the Rfam family "Eukaryotic small subunit ribosomal RNA", at positions 94 to 367 of the family's 1831-position model. The record is from RNAcentral. Lineage: Eukaryota; Metazoa; Nematoda; Chromadorea; Desmodorida; Epsilonematidae.
UUGGCUCAUUACAACAGCCGUUGUUUCUUGGAUCUUACUUUACUUGGAUAACUGUGGUAAUUCUAGAGCUAAUACAUGCAACCAAGCUUCGACCUCAGGGAAGGAGCGCAUUUAUUAGACCAAGACCAAUCAGAUUCGUCUGAAACUUGGUGACUCUGAAUAACUUUGCUGAUCACACGGUCCUAGCACCGGUGACAUAUCUUUCAAGUGUCUGCCCUAUCAACUUUCGAUGGUAGUUUAUGUGCCUACCAUGGUUGUAACGGGUAACGGAA